GAUGAACGCUGGCGGCGUGCCUAAUACAUGCAAGUCGAGCGAACGGACGAGAAGCUUGCUUCUCUGAUGUUAGCGGCGGACGGGUGAGUAACACGUGGAUAACCUACCUAUAAGACUGGGAUAACUUCGGGAAACCGGAGCUAAUACCGGAUAAUAUUUUGAACCGCAUGGUUCAAAAGUGAAAGACGGUCUUGCUGUCACUUAUAGAUGGAUCCGCGCUGCAUUAGCUAGUUGGUAAGGUAACGGCUUACCAAGGCAACGAUGCAUAGCCGACCUGAGAGAGUGAUCGGCCACACUGGAACUGGGACACGGUCCAGACUCCUACGGGAGGCAGCAGUAGGGAAUCUUCCGCAAUGGGCGAAAGCCUGACGGAGCAACGCCGCGUGAGUGAUGAAGGUCUUCGGAUCGUAAAACUCUGUUAUUAGGGAAGAACAUAUGUGUAAGUAACUGUGCACAUCUUGACGGUACCUAAUCAGAAAGCCACGGCUAACUACGUG
RNAcentral lists this ribosomal RNA (497 nucleotides) under uncultured bacterium. RNAcentral's name for it is "partial 16S ribosomal RNA". It matches the Rfam family "Bacterial small subunit ribosomal RNA", at positions 28 to 507 of the family's 1533-position model. The record is from RNAcentral.